AUUGAACGCUGGCGGCAUGCCUUACACAUGCAAGUCGAACGGCAGCACGGGUGCUUGCACCUGGUGGCGAGUGGCGAACGGGUGAGUAAUACAUCGGAACAUGUCCUGUAGUGGGGGAUAGCCCGGCGAAAGCCGGAUUAAUACCGCAUACGAUCUACGGAUGAAAGCGGGGGACCUUCGGGCCUCGCGCUAUAGGGUUGGCCGAUGGCGGAUUAGCUCGUUGGUGGGGUAAAGGCCUACCAAGGCGACGAUCAGUAGCUGGUCUGAGAGGACGACAAGCCACACUGGGACUGAGACACGGCCCAGACUCCUACGGGAGGCAGCAGUGGGGAAUUUUGGACAAUGGGCGAAAGCCUGAUCCAGCAAUGCCGCGUGUGUGAAGAAGGCCUUCGGGUUGUAAAGCACUUUUGUCCGGAAAGAAAUCCUUGGCCCUAAUACGGUCGGGGGAUGACGGUACCGGAAGAAUAAGCACCGGCUAACUACGUG
RNAcentral lists this ribosomal RNA (486 nucleotides) under uncultured bacterium. Its description in RNAcentral is "partial 16S ribosomal RNA". It matches the Rfam family "Bacterial small subunit ribosomal RNA", at positions 30 to 507 of the family's 1533-position model. The record is from RNAcentral.